This is a non-coding RNA of Oryctolagus cuniculus (rabbit), 1105 nucleotides long. The record is from RefSeq and is a predicted model, not a curated record. NCBI's taxonomy places the organism in Eukaryota, Metazoa, Chordata, Mammalia, Lagomorpha, Leporidae.
CUGGCGGUUCUGGAUCCACCCCAAAACCAGCGGUGCUCGGUCUCAUUCAUAGAUCCGCCGAGGUUCCUGCAGCACCACACCACCUUCCGUCAUGGCAUUCUGCAGGCAUUUCAGCUGGUUUUGCAGAUCAGGGAAAACAGGAAACCACCUCAACUUCAAGGAGAAACUGGAGCUCAGGUUUAUUCACUUACACAUCUACUUCGUAAGAGAACUCGGGCGAGGCAGAGCUAAGCUGCCGACUGAAUCUAUUUCCAGCUAUCACCAGAGCCGAGUGACAGAGAGAGGGAUCUUCCAUCUGUUGGUUCACUACCCAGAUGGCUGCAACAGCCAGAGGUGGGCCAGGCUGAAACCAAGAGCCAGGAACUCCAUGCGUGUCUCCCGAAAGGCUGGCAGGGGCCCACAGGCUCAGGUCGUGCUCCGCCGCCGUCCGGCACAUCAGCCGGAGCUGGCCCAGAAGCAGGGCAGGCGGGUGUGAAGCCGCACUUGGAGAUGGCAUGAGGACGCCACAAGGCCUCACCUGCUGUGCCGCACACCAACUCUGAAAACCGUCUUUAACUCGCAAGCCGAAGCCGGCUGCUGCCCAGAGGCCAGUGUGCUGACCCCUGUCUCAAAUCAUUCGUUCACUGAAGAGGUUAGGAGGCAUUAUCUCUGAGGUCACUUCCCAAAGUCUCUAUGCAAUUAUAAAUAGGGCUGACGGGGUGGGGAUGGGGGGCGGAGAGUGGCUACAUGUCUAGUCAUUUAAACAUCCACAUAGUGAAGAUUUCAAGUUGGGAGUUUCAAAAGAUUGAAUUUCAGACUUAAGUUCCGAAUUAUCUCAAAAUUGAAUUGCCUGUUCCCUUCCACCCCCUCCCAACUCUGUGAAAUGUAUCACAGCAACUGUAACCAUGAUCACCCCCGUCCACUAUGAUGAAACUUAGGGCUUUUGGUGACAAAGAUAACUUCUACUGUAUCUACCUCCUUCAGCCAGCACAAUGCCCAGUAGGUGAUAUAGGUCCAGUGUUUGUUAAAUAAAUACAACACACAGCUAGGAUUUUUAAUUUGUUCUUGUAACUCUGUAUACUCGUUAAGAGGGGUUUUAUUCUCCCGCCUGCACUGUAGCAUAGCG